RNAcentral lists this ribosomal RNA (468 nucleotides) under uncultured bacterium. RNAcentral's name for it is "partial 16S ribosomal RNA". It matches the Rfam family "Bacterial small subunit ribosomal RNA", at positions 28 to 507 of the family's 1533-position model. The record is from RNAcentral.
GACGAACGCUGGCGGCGUGCUUAACACAUGCAAGUCGAACGGAAAGGCCCUGCUUUUGUGGGGUGCUCGAGUGGCGAACGGGUGAGUAACACGUGAGUAACCUGCCCUUGACUUUGGGAUAACUUCAGGAAACUGGGGCUAAUACCGGAUAGGAGCUCCUGCUGCAUGGUGGGGGUUGGAAAGUUUCGGCGGUUGGGGAUGGACUCGCGGCUUAUCAGCUUGUUGGUGGGGUAGUGGCUUACCAAGGCUUUGACGGGUAGCCGGCCUGAGCGGGUGACCGGCCACAUUGGGACUGAGAUACGGCCCAGACUCCUACGGGAGGCAGCAGUGGGGAAUAUUGCACAAUGGGCGGAAGCCUGAAGCAGCAACGCCGCGUGCGGGAUGACGGCCUUCGGGUUGUAAACCGCUUUCGCCUGUGACGAAGCGUGAGUGACGGUAAUGGGUAAAGAAGCACCGGCUAACUACGUG